RNAcentral lists this ribosomal RNA (414 nucleotides) under uncultured bacterium. Its description in RNAcentral is "bacterial SSU rRNA". It matches the Rfam family "Bacterial small subunit ribosomal RNA", at positions 8 to 448 of the family's 1533-position model. The record is from RNAcentral.
AGAGUUUGAUCCUGGCUCAGAACGAACGCUGGCGGCAGGCCUCAAACAUGCAAGUCUAGGGGGUGCAGCAAUGCAUCACCGGCGGACGGGUGCGUAACGCGUGGGAAUAUACCUAUUGGUUCGGAACAACUGCGGGAAACUGCAGCUAAUACCGAAUGUGCCCUAACGGGGAAAGAUUUAUCGCCAAUGGAUUAGCCCGCGUAGGAUUAGCUAGUUGGUGGGGUAAUGGCUCACCAAGGCUCCGAUCCUUAGCUGUUCUGAGAGGAAGAUCAGCCACACUGGGACUGAGACACGGCCCAGACUCCUACGGGAGGCAGCAGUUGGGAAUCUUGGACAAUGGGGGAAACCCUGAUCCAGCCAUGCCGCGUGAGUGAUGAAGGCCUUCGGGUUGUAAAACUCUUUCGACGGGGACGA